Molecule: non-coding RNA, 497 nt
Filed under: Taenia asiatica
Lineage: Eukaryota; Metazoa; Platyhelminthes; Cestoda; Cyclophyllidea; Taeniidae
Description: Eukaryotic small subunit ribosomal RNA
Rfam family: Eukaryotic small subunit ribosomal RNA
Source: Rfam by way of RNAcentral
AUGCCUGUAGUGUAAUAGCUGAAGGUGUAGACGGGUGCUAAGCGGUGCUCUACACACGAUAUGGAACCUGUCGGCUCGCCUGCAUGCCUUUGAAUGCCCUUGAAAAGAUGUCUGCAGGAGAAUGGCACGUUUACUUUGAACAAAUCUGAGUACUCAAAUCAGGCCGAUGUUGCCUGAAAAGUAAUGCAUGGAAUAUUGGAAUAGGACUCUGGUUCUAUUUUGUUGGUUUUUGGGUCCGAAGUAGUGAUCGAAUGAGACAGGCGGGGAUGUUUGUAAGGCUGCGCCAGAGGUGAAAUUCAUGGAACGUAGCCAGACAGAAUAGAGCGAAAGCAUUCGUCAAGCAUGUCUUCAUUGGCCAUGAGCGAAAGUAAGAGGCUCAAAGACGAUCAGAUACCGUCCUCGUUGUGACCAUAAACGAUGCAAACUGACAAUCCGUGGAGGUAGUAAUGUUACCUCCCCCACCGACAGUCGCCAAAAAACCUUUAAGUGUUUGGAUU